Molecule: ribosomal RNA, 551 nt
Filed under: uncultured bacterium
Lineage: Bacteria
Description: bacterial SSU rRNA
Rfam family: Bacterial small subunit ribosomal RNA
Source: RNAcentral
AGGAGGUUUGAUCCAUGGCUCAGGACGAACGCUGGCGGCGUGCUUAACACAUGCAAGUCGCACGAACGGAGGAGAGCUUGCUCUCCAAUGUUAGUGGCGAACGGGUGCGUAACACGUGAGCAACUUGUCCUUCGGUGGGGGAUAGCCGGCCCAACGGCCGGGUAAUACCGCGUAUCGGAUCAUUAUCGCAUGGUGAUGAUGUGAAAGCGGCCGCAAGGUCGCGCCGGGGGAGGGGCUCGCGGCGUAUCAGCUUGUUGGUGGGGUAACGGCCUACCAAGGCGACGACGCGUAGCUGGUCUGAGAGGAUGAUCAGCCACAUUGGGACUGAGAUACGGCCCAGACUCCUACGGGAGGCAGCAGUGGGGAAUAUUGCGCAAUGGCCGCAAGGCUGACGCAGCGACGCCGUGUGUGGGAUGAAGGCUUUCGGGUUGUAAACCACUGUCAGGAGGGACGAAUACUCGGCUUCAAAAUAGUUGACCGAGGGUGACGGUACCUCCAAAGGGAAGCACCGGCUAACUCCGUGCCAGCAGCCGCGGUCACACGGAGGGUGC